ACUCCUACGGGAGGCAGCAGUGGGGAAUAUUGCACAAUGGGGAAACCCUGAUGCAGCCAUGCCGCGUGUGUGAAGAAGGCCUUCGGUUGUAAAGCACUUUCAGUAGGGAGGAAGGUAGUGUAGUUAACACCUGCACUAUUUGACGUUACCUACAGAAGAAGCACCGGCUAACUCCGUGCCAGCAGCCGCGGUAAUACGGAGGGGUGCGAGCGUUAAUCGGAAUUACUGGGCGUAAAGCGCAUGCAGGCGGCCUGUUAAGUCAGAUGUGAAAGCCCGGGGGCUUAACCUCGGAAUUGCAUUUGAAACUGGCAGGCUAGAGUCUUGUAGAGGGGGUAGGAAUUUCAGGUGUAGCGGUGAAAUGCGUAGAGAUCUGAAGGAAUACCAGUGGCGAAGGCGGCCCCCUGGACCAAAGACUGACGCUCAGAUGCGAAAGCGUGGGGAGGCAAAC
Molecule: ribosomal RNA, 448 nt
Filed under: uncultured bacterium
Lineage: Bacteria
Description: bacterial SSU rRNA
Rfam family: Bacterial small subunit ribosomal RNA
Source: RNAcentral